ACUGCUUCUUGGCCCAUUUGGCUAAGAUCAAGUGUAGUAUCUGUUCUUAUCGGUUUAAUAUCUGAUAUGUCAACCAUCUUAAGCGGCAAAGGGGCUUGCUUCUUCUGCUCCAUGCAUCGACCCAGUAUUGCAGUGCCUCUGGGAGAAAGUCAUUGUCA
The sequence is a small nuclear RNA, 158 nucleotides long. Its record names the gene U2. It matches the Rfam family "U2 spliceosomal RNA". From Rfam's summary of the family: U2 is a small nuclear RNA (snRNA) component of the spliceosome (involved in pre-mRNA splicing). Complementary binding between U2 snRNA (in an area lying towards the 5' end but 3' to hairpin I) and the branchpoint sequence (BPS) of the intron results the bulging out of an unpaired adenosine, on the BPS, which initiates a nucleophilic attack at the intronic 5' splice site, thus starting the first of two transesterification reactions that mediate splicing. The record is from Ensembl.